RNAcentral lists this ribosomal RNA (430 nucleotides) under Pseudomonadota bacterium. Its description in RNAcentral is "Proteobacteria bacterium partial 16S ribosomal RNA". It matches the Rfam family "Bacterial small subunit ribosomal RNA", at positions 355 to 776 of the family's 1533-position model. Lineage: Bacteria; Pseudomonadati; Pseudomonadota. The record is from RNAcentral.
UGGGGAAUAUUGGACAAUGGGGGGAACCCUGAUCCAGCUAUGCCGCGUGUGUGAAGAAGGCCUUAUGGUUGUAAAGCACUUUAAGCGAGGAGGAGGGUACUGGUAUUAAUACUACCAGGUACUGGACGUUACUCGCAGAAUAAGCACCGGCUAACUCUGUGCCAGCAGCCGCGGUAAUACAGAGGGUGCGAGCGUUAAUCGGAUUUACUGGGCGUAAAGCGUGCGUAGGCGGCUAAUUGAGUCGGAUGUGAAAUCCCCGAGCUUAACUUGGGAAUUGCAUUCGAUACUGGUUAGCUAGAGUGUGGGAGAGGAUGGUAGAAUUCCAGGUGUAGCGGUGAAAUGCGUAGAGAUCUGGAGGAAUACCGAUGGCGAAGGCAGCCAUCUGGCCUAACACUGACGCUGAGGUACGAAAGCAUGGGGAGCAAACAGG